This 497-nucleotide ribosomal RNA is filed under the name uncultured bacterium. RNAcentral's name for it is "partial 16S ribosomal RNA". It matches the Rfam family "Bacterial small subunit ribosomal RNA", at positions 28 to 507 of the family's 1533-position model. The record is from RNAcentral.
GAUGAACGCUGGCGGCGUGCCUAAUACAUGCAAGUCGAGCGAACAGACGAGGAGCUUACUCCUCUGACGUUAGCGGCGGACGGGUGAGUAACACGUGGAUAACCUACCUAUAAGACUGGGAUAACUUCGGGAAACCGGAGCUAAUACCGGAUAACAUGUUGAACCGCAUGGUUCAACAGUGAAAGACGGUCUUGCUAUCACUUAUAGAUGGAUCCGCGUCGCAUUAGCUAGUUGGUAAGGUAACGGCUUACCAAGGCAACGAUGCGUAGCCGACCUGAGAGGGUGAUCGGCCACACUGGAACUGAGACACGGUCCAGACUCCUACGGGAGGCAGCAGUAGGGAAUCUUCCGCAGUGGGCGAAAGCCUGACGGAGCAACGCCGCGUGAGUGAAGAAGGUCUUCGGAUCGUAAAACUCUGUUAUUAGGGAAGAACAAAUGUGUAAGUAACUAUGCACGUCUUGACGGUACCUAAUCAGAAAGCCACGGCUAACUACGUG